This 253-nucleotide ribosomal RNA is filed under the name uncultured bacterium. Its description in RNAcentral is "partial 16S ribosomal RNA". It matches the Rfam family "Bacterial small subunit ribosomal RNA", at positions 524 to 776 of the family's 1533-position model. The record is from RNAcentral.
UACGUAGGGUGCAAGCGUUAAUCGGAAUUACUGGGCGUAAAGCGUGCGCAGGCGGUUUUGUAAGUCUGACGUGAAAUCCCCGGGCUUAACCUGGGAAUUGCGUUGGAGACUGCAAGGCUGGAGUCCGGCAGAGGGGGGUAGAAUUCCACGUGUAGCAGUGAAAUGCGUAGAGAUGUGGAGGAACACCGAUGGCGAAGGCAGCCCCCUGGGUCAAGACUGACGCUCAUGCACGAAAGCGUGGGGAGCAAACAGG